This 468-nucleotide ribosomal RNA is filed under the name uncultured bacterium. RNAcentral describes it as "partial 16S ribosomal RNA". It matches the Rfam family "Bacterial small subunit ribosomal RNA", at positions 28 to 507 of the family's 1533-position model. The record is from RNAcentral.
GACGAACGCUGGCGGCGUGCUUAACACAUGCAAGUCGAACGGAAAGGCCCUGCUUUUGUGGGGUGCUCGAGUGGCGAACGGGUGAGUAACACGUGAGUAACCUGCCCUUGACUUUGGGAUAACUUCAGGAAACUGGGGCUAAUACCGGAUAGGAGCUCCUGCUGCAUGGUGGGGGUUGGAAAGUUUCGGCGGUUGGGGAUGGACUCGCGGCUUAUCAGCUUGUUGGUGGGGUAGUGGCUUACCAAGGCUUUGACGGGUAGCCGGCCUGAGAGGGUGACCGGCCACAUUGGGACUGAGAUACGGCCCAGACGCCUACGGGAGGCAGCAGUGGGGAAUAUUGCACAAUGGGCGGAAGCCUGAUGCAGCAACGCCGCGUGCGGGAUGACGGCCUUCGGGUUGUAAUCCGCUUUCGCCUGUGACGAAGCGUGAGUGACGGUAAUGGGUAAAGAAGCACCGGCUAACUACGUG